This 253-nucleotide ribosomal RNA is filed under the name uncultured bacterium. RNAcentral describes it as "partial 16S ribosomal RNA". It matches the Rfam family "Bacterial small subunit ribosomal RNA", at positions 524 to 776 of the family's 1533-position model. The record is from RNAcentral.
UACGUAGGGACCGAGCGUUGUCCGGAAUCAUUGGGCGUAAAGAGCGUGUAGGCGGCCACUUAAGUCCUGCGUGAAAUCUUGCGGCUCAACCGCAAGCGGUCGUGGGAAACUGGGUGGCUAGAGUGCGGGAGAGGAGAGUGGAAUUCCUGGUGUAGCGGUGAAAUGCGCAGAUAUCAGGAGGAACACCGGUGGCGAAGGCGGGUCUCUGGGCCGAAACUGACGCUGAGGAGCGAAAGCGUGGGGAGCAAACAGG